Nerophis ophidion (straightnose pipefish) is the source of this 791-nucleotide long non-coding RNA. RefSeq lists it as uncharacterized. The transcript has 3 exons. The record is from RefSeq and is a predicted model, not a curated record. Lineage: Eukaryota; Metazoa; Chordata; Actinopteri; Syngnathiformes; Syngnathidae.
AGUCGGCCUGUGCUGACUUGUUUCAUGCCUUGCCAUAGUUUCGCGCUUCAUGCCAUGCCAAUCCCACUCUGAUGAUAGUGAGAGUGAAAGAAGUCCAACAAACCGUGCUUCUGGUCCAGUAGCUCGAUCUUUUCCAGAACAUCUUUCCUCAUCUUGGCGAAACGCGCCCGCGCCUCCUGCCGACAGCGCAGCACCAGGCGGUACUCAUAAUUUCCAGUGCAGACGCGAUACAGAGGUUCUCCCAUGGCCUGGGGGAAGACACACACAUUGUCAAGCAGUACGACUACAAGACAAAGAGAAAGCGCAUGUUUCGAUGGUUCUGCCAGUCAAAAGACACAAUAUUAACCCUUGGGGAGACCUGCUGGGACCUUUCUGGGGGGUUUUUAGUGCCUUUGAAGAGGACAUCAUGAAACAGACAGUUCAUUUUAAAAGGUGAGCAGGAUGAUAUCCAGCCACAGGAGUUCUCAAAACUAGCAUUGUACGUUCUUUGCUAAGUUAUUUUUAGCACGAGCUGUUGAGUGAGUAUACUUUGGAGUUCCCGGGACCCUUUUGUCCCCUAUUGACUCCCUUUAUAACAGCCAUUUUUGAAUACUUUAAACCUGUCAUUUUAAAAUGAUUUUCCCAUGAAAACCAAAUGAAUCCAAGCAUUUCUCUGUAAGAAAUGUAAUUUGAGGUAAUUUGACCCCUCAACCGCUCGAUACCGCCAGAGUAGCAUACAUUCAUAUUAGACACAUAAUUGCUAUGGACUUGCCUCCAAAAACCAUGUUGAUGAUUUGGUCGUGACAAGAGUU